This 71-nucleotide transfer RNA is filed under the name Euurobracon breviterebrae. Its description in RNAcentral is "tRNA-Lys". The record is from RNAcentral. Lineage: Eukaryota; Metazoa; Arthropoda; Insecta; Hymenoptera; Braconidae.
CAUUAAAUAUCUUAAAAGUAAGAGUUAAUUUUUUAAUUUAAUUAUAAUAAAAUAACGUUUAUUUUUAAUGA